GAUGAACGCUGGCGGCGUGCUUAAUACAUGCAAGUCGAACGGACAGGCGAUGAUCUUGUGGGGUGCAUGUGAGGCGCACGGGUGAGUAAAACGUGUGUAUACCGUACCUGUCUUUGGGAUAAAUUUAGGAAAAUGCGGCUCUUAUCGGAUAGGAGAUUCUGAUGCAUAGGGGGGGAUGGUGAGUUUCGGCGGUUGGGGAUGGUCUAGAGGCUUAUCAGCUUGAUGGUGGGGUAGUGACUUACCAAGCCUGUGACGGGUAGCCGGCCUGAGAGGGUGACCGGCCACAUUGGGACUGAGAGACGGCGCAGACUCCUACGGUAGGCAGCGGUGGGGAACAUUGCGCAAUAGGCGGAAGCCUGAUGCAGCAACGCCGCGUGCGGGAUGACGGCCUUCGGGUUGUAAACCGCUGUCGCCGGUGACGAAGCGUGAGUGACGGUAAUUGGUAAAGAAGCACCGGCUAACUACGUG
RNAcentral lists this ribosomal RNA (468 nucleotides) under uncultured bacterium. RNAcentral's name for it is "partial 16S ribosomal RNA". It matches the Rfam family "Bacterial small subunit ribosomal RNA", at positions 28 to 507 of the family's 1533-position model. The record is from RNAcentral.